ACUUAUAAUAUAGGCAUACAAGACUGCAAUCACUGAAAUGCCUUGCAACCUGUACAAACAUGGCAUUUACACACUCAUUUUUACAGCCAACCAACAGAAGAUGACUUAGAGUCUGACACAGAUAGGACUCCAAGGCGGAAAAAAGCACGGCGGUCACCAAGGAAACAACAGAGCCCAUUGAAAGCCCCUCAGCAUGCUGCUGUAACUGCUGCCUGUAUGGAGUACCU
Molecule: long non-coding RNA, 227 nt
Filed under: Dermacentor andersoni
Lineage: Eukaryota; Metazoa; Arthropoda; Arachnida; Ixodida; Ixodidae
Description: uncharacterized LOC126524529
Source: RNAcentral